Molecule: ribosomal RNA, 260 nt
Filed under: uncultured Atopobium sp.
Lineage: Bacteria; Bacillati; Actinomycetota; Coriobacteriia; Coriobacteriales; Atopobiaceae
Description: partial 16S ribosomal RNA
Rfam family: Bacterial small subunit ribosomal RNA
Source: RNAcentral
AGGCGAACGGCUGAGUAACACGUGGGCAACCUGCCCUUUGCACUGGGAUAGCCUCGGGAAACCGAGGUUAAUACCGGAUACUCCAUAUCCAUCGCAUGAUAGAUAUGGGAAAGCUCCGGCGGCAAAGGAUGGGCCCGCGGCCUGUUAGCUAGUUGGUGGGGUAGUGGCCUACCAAGGCAAUGAUGGGUAGCCGGGUUGAGAGACCGACCGGCCAGAUUGGGACUGAGACACGGCCCAGACUCCUACGGGAGGCAGCAGGC